RNAcentral lists this ribosomal RNA (253 nucleotides) under uncultured bacterium. RNAcentral describes it as "partial 16S ribosomal RNA". It matches the Rfam family "Bacterial small subunit ribosomal RNA", at positions 524 to 776 of the family's 1533-position model. The record is from RNAcentral.
AACGUAGGAGGCAAGCGUUAUCCGGAGUAACUGGGCGUAAAGGGCGGGUAGGUGGUUCGAUAAGUUGGUUAUGAAAGCUCCUGGCUAAACUGGGAGAGGCUGACCAAGACUGUCAGACUUGAGUGGAGAAGAGGUAAACGGAAUUCCGCGUGUAGUGGUGAAAUGCGUAGAGAUGCGGAAGAACACCAGUGGCGAAGGCGGUUUACUGGUCUCCAACUGACACUGAGCCGCGAAAGCAUGGGUAGCGAACGGG